Molecule: ribosomal RNA, 496 nt
Filed under: uncultured bacterium
Lineage: Bacteria
Description: bacterial SSU rRNA
Rfam family: Bacterial small subunit ribosomal RNA
Source: RNAcentral
GCUGGCGGCAUGCCUAACACAUGCAAGUCGAACGGUAACGGACCGCUGGGAUUCCUUCGGGAUGACCUUGGUGCCGACGAGUGGCGGACGGGUGAGUAAUACUUAGGAAUCUGCCCAGUAGUGGGGGACAACAUUCGGAAACGGAUGCUAAUACCGCAUACGCACUACGGUGGAAAGUGGGGGAUCUUCGGACCUCACGCUAUUGGAUGAGCCUAAGUCGGAUUAGCUUGUUGGUGAGGUAAUGGCUCACCAAGGCGACGAUCCGUAGCUGGUCUGAGAGGACGAUCAGCCACACUGGGACUGAGACACGGCCCAGACUCCUACGGGAGGCAGCAGUGGGGAAUAUUGGACAAUGGGCGCAAGCCUGAUCCAGCAAUGCCGCGUGUGUGAAGAAGGCCUGCGGGUUGUAAAGCACUUUCAGUUGGGAAGAAAAGCUCGAGGUUAAUACCCUCGGGUCUUGACGUUACCUACAGAAGAAGCACCGGCCAACUCCGUG